AUAUCAAUAAGCGGAGGAAAAGAAACCAACAGGGAUUGCCUCAGUAACGGCGAGUGAAGCGGCAAAAGCUCAAAUUUGAAAUCCUCAGGGAAUUGUAUUUUGAAGGUUGACAGAGUUUGAAGGGUUCUUCUUAAGUUCAUUGGAAAAUGACGCCAUAGAGGGUGAUAGCCCCGUGAAGAAACCAAAUCCUUCUAUUUCUUUGUUCUCCAAAGAGUCGAGUUGUUUGGGAAUGCAGCUCUAAGUGGGUGGUAAAUUCCAUCUAAAGCUAAAUAUUGGCGAGAGACCGAUAGCGAACAAGUACAGUGAUGGAAAGAUGAAAAGCACUUUGAAAAGAGAGUGAAAAAGUACGUGAAAUUGUUGAAAGGGAAGGGCUUGCAAGCAGACACAACCUCGUGUUGGGCCAGCAUCGGGGCGAGGGGAAGUAAAACAGUCAAGAAAUAUAACUCCCUUCGGGGAGCAUUACAGUCUUUGUCCUACCACUUCCAUCUCAUCCCGAGGCCUGCGAAUUCUUCAAGGAUGCUGG
This 523-nucleotide ribosomal RNA is filed under the name Metschnikowia noctiluminum. RNAcentral's name for it is "eukaryotic LSU rRNA". It matches the Rfam family "Eukaryotic large subunit ribosomal RNA", at positions 40 to 629 of the family's 3401-position model. Lineage: Eukaryota; Fungi; Ascomycota; Pichiomycetes; Serinales; Metschnikowiaceae. The record is from RNAcentral.